GGCCUUGACAUGCAGAGAACUUUCCAGAGAUGGAUUGGUGCCUUCGGGAACUCUGACACAGGUGCUGCAUGGCUGUCGUCAGCUCGUGUCGUGAGAUGUUGGGUUAAGUCCCGUAACGAGCGCAACCCUUGUCCUUAGUUACCAGCACGUUAUGGUGGGCACUCUAAGGAGACUGCCGGUGACAACCGGAGGAAGGUGGGGGAUGACGUCAAGUCAUCAUGGCCCUUACGGCCUGGGCUACACACGUGCUACAAUGGUCGGUACAAAGGGUUGCCAAGCCGCGAGGUGGAGCUAAUCCCAUAAAACCGAUCGUAGUCCGGAUCGCAGUCUGCAACUCGACUGCGUGAAGUCGGAAUCGCCAGUAAUCGUGAAUCAGAAUGUCACGGUGAAUACGUUCCCGGGCCUU
This 406-nucleotide ribosomal RNA is filed under the name uncultured Pseudomonas sp. RNAcentral describes it as "bacterial SSU rRNA". It matches the Rfam family "Bacterial small subunit ribosomal RNA", at positions 977 to 1382 of the family's 1533-position model. The record is from RNAcentral. Lineage: Bacteria; Pseudomonadati; Pseudomonadota; Gammaproteobacteria; Pseudomonadales; Pseudomonadaceae.